Molecule: long non-coding RNA, 485 nt
Filed under: Numida meleagris (helmeted guineafowl)
Lineage: Eukaryota; Metazoa; Chordata; Aves; Galliformes; Numididae
Description: lncRNA (ENSNMEG00000020977.1)
Source: RNAcentral
UCUUGAUUUCUUGUUCUUUUUCUCUUUUCUUUGACCAUGGCUUUCAACAGCACUGUGUAUGUAAUUUUAUCUGUCUGAUAAACUUCAGAUGAUCCAAUAGAUACAAGCUGACUAUAAACAACCUGUUUUGUACAGAAGGUUCUCUGUCCUGAGAUAGAGCUGGGCCUGAAUUGUUCCUGCUUUUAAGUGAUGUCCGAGUGAUAACCUUGGGAAGAUUUCUGAGAGGAUACUGGUUCUGAGCUGCUUUCAACCUAUCUACUGAAAGAUUGUCUUUCUCCACAAGCUGGACUGUCAUAGUACAGUCAAGAGGUGUUUUGUGAUCAAAUCUAAUGACAAUUGUCCAGAACUGGAGAGGUUAAAAUCACCUAUGACUUCUGCCUAUUUGAUUGCAUUUUGAACAGGCAGCAUACGAUAUGGGAUUCAGCCAGAAGGAAGUAAUUGAGCAGUGGAGGUUUUAUAAGGCUGCUUACUGAAAUAUUUCAGGC